AUGGUAUCGGAUAUCGACACGAGGAAUGACCGACCGUCCGGCCGCCGGGAUUUUCGCCGGAAAACUUUUCCGGCGACUUUUCCGGCGAUCGGUUUUGUUGCCUUUUUCCGAGUUUUCUCAGCAGUUCUCGGACAAAAACUGCUGAAUCGUCGAGGAGAAUGG
Arabidopsis thaliana (thale cress) is the source of this 162-nucleotide non-coding RNA. Lineage: Eukaryota; Viridiplantae; Streptophyta; Magnoliopsida; Brassicales; Brassicaceae. The record is from RefSeq.